Molecule: long non-coding RNA, 483 nt
Filed under: Mytilus galloprovincialis (Mediterranean mussel)
Lineage: Eukaryota; Metazoa; Mollusca; Bivalvia; Mytilida; Mytilidae
Source: RNAcentral
CUUAUCUUCGAAACAUGCCCCCCUCUCGGUGGAUCACUAACCUUGUCAUAGUCGGGGGCUUGCGUAUGUCAUUGACCCCAAGGAGCUAUGCCAGUUGGUGCUUCGUCAGUAAAAAAUCUUUUCCAUUAUAAACUUUGACCGCCGUAACUGUCAUGUUUCUGCCAAAUCGCCAUCCUUUACUACAUCUGAAAUUAUCAAGUCCGAGUUAUCCUGAACUUAUCCAGCAGCGUUGUAAUCCACACCAUUACGAAAAAUCACAACGUAGCUAACAGAAAUUUUCAAUGUGGUUGUCUGUGUUCCUUCCUUUCUUUCUUUCUUUCUUUUUUGGGUCUAAUGACAAGUAGCUUACAAGUUUAAGUACUGUAAUCACUAGCCAAACAAGAGGUUGUGAAUUUGAACCAUGUCCAUGCAUUGGCACUCAACUUAAAAGUGGCAUUUAAUCACCCAAAAUUAAUCAAUCCUGAAAAUCUAAUUAAAUAAUUA